Molecule: ribosomal RNA, 364 nt
Filed under: Clostridioides difficile
Lineage: Bacteria; Bacillati; Bacillota; Clostridia; Peptostreptococcales; Peptostreptococcaceae
Description: partial 23S ribosomal RNA
Rfam family: Bacterial large subunit ribosomal RNA
Source: RNAcentral
GUGUGGAGCCGUAGCGAAAGCGAGUUUUAACUGAGCGUUCAGUUACUUGACGUAGACCCGAAACCGGGCGACCUACCCAUGAGCAGGAUGAAGCGAAAGUAAAAUUUCGUGGAGGUCCGAACCCACGAGCGUUGAAAAGCUCGGGGAUGACUUGUGGGUAGCGGUGAAAUUCCAAUCGAGCCCGGAGAUAGCUGGUUCUCCCCGAAAUAGCUUUAGGGCUAGCCUCAAGGUGAGAGAUACGGAGGUAGAGCACUGAAUGUCCUAGGGGGUAUUGCACCUACCGAAGACUAUCAAACUCCGAAUGCCGUCAUCUUAUACUUGGGAGUCAGACUGUGGGUGAUAAGAUUCAUAGUCGAAAGGGCAA